GAACGCCGGCGGUGUGCCUAAUACAUGCAAGUCGUACGCACUGGCCCAACUGAUUGAUGGUGCUUGCACCUGAUUGACGAUGGAUCACCAGUGAGUGGCGGACGGGUGAGUAACACGUAGGUAACCUGCCCCGGAGCGGGGGAUAACAUUUGGAAACAGAUGCUAAUACCGCAUAACAACAAAAGCCACAUGGCUUUUGUUUGAAAGAUGGCUUUGGCUAUCACUCUGGGAUGGACCUGCGGUGCAUUAGCUAGUUGGUAAGGUAACGGCUUACCAAGGCGAUGAUGCAUAGCCGAGUUGAGAGACUGAUCGGCCACAAUGGAACUGAGACACGGUCCAUACUCCUACGGGAGGCAGCAGUAGGGAAUCUUCCACAAUGGGCGCAAGCCUGAUGGAGCAACACCGCGUGAGUGAAGAAGGGUUUCGGCUCGUAAAGCUCUGUUGUUGGAGAAGAACGUGCGUGAGAGUAACUGUUCACGCAGUGACGGUAUCCAACCAGAAAGUCACGGCUAACUACGUGCCAGCAGCCGCGGUAAUACGUAGGUGGCAAGCGUUAUCCGGAUUUAUUGGGCGUAAAGCGAGCGCAGGCGGUUGCUUAGGUCUGAUGUGAAAGCCUUCGGCUUAACCGAAGAAGUGCAUCGGAAACCGGGCGACUUGAGUGCAGAAGAGGACAGUGGAACUCCAUGUGUAGCGGUGGAAUGCGUAGAUAUAUGGAAGAACACCAGUGGCGAAGGCGGCUGUCUGGUCUGCAACUGACGCUGAGGCUCGAAAGCAUGGGUAGCGAACAGGAUUAGAUACCCUGGUAGUCCAUGCCGUAAACGAUGAGUGCUAGGUGUUGGAGGGUUUCCGCCCUUCAGUGCCGGAGCUAACGCAUUAAGCACUCCGCCUGGGGAGUACGACCGCAAGGUUGAAACUCAAAGGAAUUGACGGGGGCCCGCACAAGCGGUGGAGCAUGUGGUUUAAUUCGAAGCUACGCGAAGAACCUUACCAGGUCUUGACAUCUUGCGCUAACCUUAGAGAUAAGGCGUUCCCUUCGGGGACGCAAUGACAGGUGGUGCAUGGUCGUCGUCAGCUCGUGUCGUGAGAUGUUGGGUUAAGUCCCGCAACGAGCGCAACCCUUGUUACUAGUUGCCAGCAUUAAGUUGGGCACUCUAGUGAGACUGCCGGUGACAAACCGGAGGAAGGUGGGGACGACGUCAGAUCAUCAUGCCCCUUAUGACCUGGGCUACACACGUGCUACAAUGGACGGUACAACGAGUCGCAAGCUCGCGAGAGUAAGCUAAUCUCUUAAAGCCGUUCUCAGUUCGGACUGUAGGCUGCAACUCGCCUACACGAAGUCGGAAUCGCUAGUAAUCGCGGAUCAGCAUGCCGCGGUGAAUACGUUCCCGGGCCUUGUACACACCGCCCGUCACACCAUGGGGAGUUUGUAACGCCCAAAGUCGGUGGCCUAACCUUUAUGGGAGGGAGCCGCCUAAGGCGGGACAGAUGA
Molecule: ribosomal RNA, 1489 nt
Filed under: Limosilactobacillus reuteri
Lineage: Bacteria; Bacillati; Bacillota; Bacilli; Lactobacillales; Lactobacillaceae
Description: Lactobacillus reuteri partial 16S ribosomal RNA
Rfam family: Bacterial small subunit ribosomal RNA
Source: RNAcentral